CAAUACCAAUUUAUUUUCAUCAGCUAUGUUUACUCAGCACAAUGAUGGAAGCUUCCUGCUACUUGACUAUUUGAGGCAUCAUCAUUUUACACCUAGCUCUGCUGUAUCAUAAAACAAUGUCAACUGAUCACUUUUAUAUUUUUAGCAGAUGCCUUCCUACCUAAGUGACUUUCACUAAAGUGUACAACUCACAUUAUAGGCAGUUCAGGACAAGCAAGAAUACACAAUGCUUUCUAACCCAUAUGCCUCAAACGUCAAGAUGAAGCACAACUACUGUAUAAAUACGAUAACAAUGAUUUAACAGUGUAAUCUUACCUUCCCUGAAUCUCAGACAAGGAUGCUACCACUGCACUGCCAAUGCUCUCUGCCACUCAUUUUCUGCUAAUAUAAUUUUAUAGGCUUUUAAUGUCGUUGAGACUUAUUGUAAGCUACAUGAAUGGGAAAAAGGGGGGAUAGCGCUAUAAUGAAACGACAAGCAAAAAUUGUAUCUGUCCAGUGGCGGCUGGUCAAUAGGGGUUAUCAAGAGAAGUUAAUUAUAUAUUGCAAAAUAAUUAUGAAAUAAAAUGUAGUCGUACUAUGCGCCUGGUAGUCAUGUGUUAGCAUUUAUUUCAAAAAAAUUAUUUGGUUCAUUUCUGUGUGAAUACAUAGGCAAUAAUUCCAGUGUGCAGGGCGCCGGCCAAAUGAGUGUGUAUGUAGGUCCUUAAACUUUUGGCAAGCAGGUCACCUGAGGCUGCUCUCUAAUUGGUUGCUUCAGAUUUUCCCAUGGGAUGCAGCUCUCUGCGCCCCUUGAGAUUGCUGGAUUGUUAGUUGAGAUUGCUGGAUUGUUAGUUGAGAUUGUUGGAUUGUUAGUUGAGAUCAUUAACACCAGUUGAACUGCCAAGUUUCAGGUUGGCGUAGCAUUUAUUCCAAAUGAAAAUAUUCAGUUUUAUCUUUACAAAAAAAAAAAAAAAACUUUCACAAGGUGUUUACCUGAAGAAAAAAAAAAAAAGGUAUAAAAGAAGCUUGGACCAGAUCGGCCCGAUUUACAAAUUCAGCAGUCGUCAAGUAGUCGAGGACGAGCUUAUACCCGCGCUUUCUCCAGCUUGUGUUAUAGAACGAGCUAUUGGCCUGUAUGUUGUCUGUUGUGAGGGAACACAUAAUCAAAGAAGCACAGAGCAGCAAUUUUCUCUCAAUCCAGGUAGAUGAGACGAUGGAUGUUGCCACACAGUGCCAACUUGUGCUGCGCUACAUUGAUGCCAAAAACAAUGUGCAGGAAAGGUUUUUGAGUUUAUCCCUCUGCAGUCAACUACAGCUGAUUCCAUUGCUACAGCACUAAAAGAGCGUCUUACUGCCAUCCUUCCUGAGGAUCAGAAGAGUAAGCUCAUCUGCCAGGCAUAUGAUGGAGCCAGCGUGAUGAGGGGUGCCACUGCAGGUGUUCAGAGGAAGAUAAAAGACGUGUUCCCAAAUGUCCACUUCAUCCACUGCUAUGCACAUCAGCUCAAUCUGAUAAUGCAACAGGCCACUUCUCACAUAGCCAAAGUGAGAAUUUUUUUUUUCUGACCUUGGUGGAUUUGCCAGCUUUUUGUCCAGAUCACCCAAGCACACAUGUUCUUGAUAAAGUAGUGGCCCAUAGACUACCAGCAUCCAGCAACGUCAGAUGGAACUUUCACAGCCAUGCCAUCAAUACCGUGUUUGAGCACAGAGAGGAGAGAUCUGCUGUUUGAAAGCAUACCAGACUCGGGUAACUUUGACCCCAUUACUGUCAGAGAGGCAGGAGCCUUCGCCAUUCUGCUGGAGGAUCAGGAUUUUAAGUUCUUUCUGAAACUUUUCCACCACAUCAUGCCGCAUGUGGACCUCCUCUAUGCCAAACUCCAGAAGAAGGACACAGAUUUGGUCCAUAUCAAGGGGAGCAUCCAGCAGUUCCAGCAGUAUAUACAAAAGAUCAGAAAUUCUCUCCAUGGUUAGUCCAGAGGCCCAUGAAAGGAUUGCAGCAGAGAAUAUAGUCUCAUCUAUAGCAAGGAAGAGUUCAGAGCCUGCUGUGGUGCUGUGGACCUACUCCAGCUGUUUAUGGAGAACAAUCUUGAAGAAGUCUUUUCAGAGACUGUCACUCCUAAAGAUUCUCAUCACCACACCCAUGACCACAGUGGAAGCUGAGAGGUAUUUCUCAACCUUGAAAAGAAUUUAGAUUUUUCUGAGAAACAACAUGGCCCAGGAGAGGCUGAAUGCAUUGACCAUGCUGUCAGUGGAAAAGAGACUGGUGACUAAGAUGACUGACUUUAACCAGAAAGUCAUUGAAAUAUUUGUAGGCCAGAAGGAAAGGAGGACAAAAUGUAUGUUCAAGUAGUGCUACUGGCCAGUGUUUAGGCAACAUUACAGUGUGUUUUGUUUUUUGGUUUGUAUUGUUUGUUAUAACAGGCCAUUAAAAUGUCUUAGUUUUUGGAAAAAUUACGUUUUUGGCAUUAAAAUAUCUUAAAUUUGAUGCACUGCCCUGGCAUUAAGUGUUUUCCUUUGAGUUUUCAAAAUAUACGUUCCAACUGAUAAUUUGAUUGAUUUACAUUUAAUUCAGUUCUUUAAAUGUAAUUAUUUUCUAAGGUUUCAUAUAUUGUUGGUGCUUUUAAAUGGGUUAAAUAUUGCUUUGAGUGGGUUUGGUGGUAUUCUAAAGAAUUUUCCAUUUUUUUGUUUUUUAAUGAAUUUUCAGUUUGCUUGCACACCAGCUGGCACUGUAUCUGUCAUCUAUUAAAUAAUGUAAUCUAAUACAUACUAAACAGUUGAUGCUCAUGCUUUCAUUCUUUAUUUGUGCACAAAAUACUGGAAAUAUGCCAGUACAUGUGUUUACGUGUUAACUUGUGAUUUAAGAAUGUCUACAUUCACAGAAUGAACUUAAGAUUCUGCAGUAAACAAUGGUUUGAUGGGGAAAAAAAAAACAGAUGUUCAAAUGUUUCUACAUAAUUAUUACACAUUUGGCAUCUGUUUGAAUUAACAACAUUAAAUCUUACUGUCAAAAUUUUGUUUGCUGGAUAUAUAUCAUUUUAAGAUGUAUCUCUUUGCAUUAGGGGGCGAUAGGAAACGAAAGAUAUUUACUCCUAGUUUCACAUGCUGAUUUUUUUAUUGUAGUGCUGAAGAAUGUAUGCUCCCAUUUUAAGUCCUAGAAAACAUUCUUGUACAAGACAUUUUCUUAAAACAUUGUUAGUGCAUUUUUUAUCUAUACAAUUUAAUUUAACUAUCAUGGGGUCGUGUAUUUUGGGAAUUGCCAUUGUAUAUUUUAAAUGUUCUUGUAUCAACCCAAUCAUUGGUAAUGGAAUACUUUUAGUAUGGAAAAUGUACCAAGAUUUGUGGAGCAACAUUGUCUCCAAGUGGCCACUGAUUGUAAUUGCAGUAUGUCAACAUGCAUAUUGCUCCACCCUACGGCAAGUAAGAUGUCGAUUGUCUCAAACUGCUUAAUGUCUCGCUUUCUUAACGCAGGAUUGAGAACAACAUGGCGUAUGGAACAAGACUGGCAUAAAAAUUACUCCACUAAUAAAAAAACAAAUAACAUGGUAUUACUCUUACCAUGUUUUUCGACCAUGGUAAUACCAUAGUAUUCUUUGAGGUUCAUUGGAGUACCAUGUAAAUACCAUGGUAUACAAAUAUGGUGUAUGAAUAUGAUGAUCAA
This is a long non-coding RNA of Myxocyprinus asiaticus (Chinese sucker), 3631 nucleotides long. RefSeq lists it as uncharacterized. The transcript has 3 exons. The record is from RefSeq and is a predicted model, not a curated record. NCBI's taxonomy places the organism in Eukaryota, Metazoa, Chordata, Actinopteri, Cypriniformes, Catostomidae.